GGGCGGGUAGUCUAGUUUGGCUAUAAGUGCAGCUGGCUAGGAUUCCGGUUUCGGGAACCGGAGGUCAGGGGUUCAAAUCCCUUCCCGCCCACCA
RNAcentral lists this transfer RNA (94 nucleotides) under Candidatus Odinarchaeum yellowstonii. RNAcentral describes it as "tRNA-Pro". It matches the Rfam family "tRNA". From Rfam's summary of the family: Transfer RNA (tRNA) molecules are approximately 80 nucleotides in length. Their secondary structure includes four short double-helical elements and three loops (D, anti-codon, and T loops). The record is from RNAcentral. Lineage: Archaea; Promethearchaeati; Candidatus Odinarchaeota; Candidatus Odinarchaeia; Candidatus Odinarchaeales; Candidatus Odinarchaeaceae.